UCAGGUUCGUCAGGCAGCGGGCCCGUGUCGCAGCGCAGCCCCUGGCCGAGAACGCUGGCGAGCGCUGGUUUAUUUUGGAGAAAUUAAACUGUGACGGUGGCUGAAAA
Molecule: non-coding RNA, 107 nt
Organism: Cyanistes caeruleus (blue tit)
Lineage: Eukaryota; Metazoa; Chordata; Aves; Passeriformes; Paridae
Source: RefSeq, a predicted model, not a curated record